GGGGGAAUAUUGCACAAUCGGCGCAAGCCUGAUGCAGCCAUGCCGCGUGUGUGAAGAAGGCCUUCGGGUUGUAAAGUACUUUCAGCGGGGAGGAAGGCGGUGAGGUUAAUAACCUCAUCGAUUGACGUUAUCCGCAGAAGAAGCACCGGCUAACUCCGUGCCAGCAGCCGCGGCAAUACGGUGGGUGCAAGCGUUAAUCGGAAUUACUGGGCGUAAAGCGCACGCAGGCGGUCUGUCAAGUCGGAUGUGAAAUCCCCGGGCUCAACCUGGGAACUGCAUUCGAAACUGGCAGGCUAGAGUAUUGUAGAGGGGGGUAGAAUUCCAGGUGUAGCGGUGAAAUGCGUAGAGCUCUGGAGGAAUACCGGUGGCGAAGAAGGCCCCCUGGACAAAGACUGACGCUCAGGUGCGAAAGCGUGGGGGGCAAACAGG
RNAcentral lists this ribosomal RNA (429 nucleotides) under Chloroflexota bacterium. RNAcentral's name for it is "Chloroflexi bacterium partial 16S ribosomal RNA". It matches the Rfam family "Bacterial small subunit ribosomal RNA", at positions 355 to 776 of the family's 1533-position model. Lineage: Bacteria; Bacillati; Chloroflexota. The record is from RNAcentral.